GAUGAACGCUGGCGGCGUGCCUAACACAUGCAAGUCGAGCGUGAACCCUGCGAAUGAAACUUCGGUCGAUUUUGCAGGGGGAAAGCGGCGGACGGGUGAGUAACGCGUAGGUAACCUGCCCCAUACUGAGGGAUAGCCUCGGGAAACCGGGAUUAAUACCUCAUAACACCGUAUAUUCGCAUGGAUGUGCGGUCAAAGAUUUAUCGGUAUGGGAUGGGCCUGCGUCUGAUUAGCUGGUUGGUGGGGUAACGGCCUACCAAGGCGACGAUCAGUAGCCGACCUGAGAGGGUGAUCGGCCACAUUGGAACUGAGACACGGUCCAAACUCCUACGGGAGGCAGCAGUGGGGAAUAUUGCACAAUGGGCGAAAGCCUGAUGCAGCAACGCCGCGUGAGCGAUGAAGGCCUUCGGGUCGUAAGCUCUGUCCUCAAGGAAGAUAAUGACGGUACUUGAGGAGGAAGGCCCCGGCUAACUACGUGCCAGCAGCCGCGGUAAUAU
Molecule: ribosomal RNA, 497 nt
Filed under: uncultured bacterium
Lineage: Bacteria
Description: bacterial SSU rRNA
Rfam family: Bacterial small subunit ribosomal RNA
Source: RNAcentral